This 439-nucleotide long non-coding RNA is filed under the name Dasypus novemcinctus (nine-banded armadillo). RNAcentral describes it as "lncRNA (ENSDNOG00000052128.1)". Lineage: Eukaryota; Metazoa; Chordata; Mammalia; Cingulata; Dasypodidae. The record is from RNAcentral.
AUGCUGCGACAGAAGGCAGCCCAGGAAAAAACCUCCCCAGAGUUCAGGGAAUAUGCAGGCCAAUUCCAGAACUCUUGAGGAUGUUAGAGCUUGGAGAAGCACUUCACAAAGGCAGAACUGAAGAAAGAGGGAAAAUAUCAGCUUUGGUCACCUACUGCUUGUCUAGCUGUGCUAAAAAUCCAGAGGAAGACAGUUGUCAGGGGAAACAUUGACAAUGCAACCACAGGUGAGUAGGGAGUUCUUUAACUGAAAUUGCAGUUGCCAGACGAUGAUGAGGUUUCUCCUAUUGGCAUGGAUAUUCCAAGUGCAUUCAGGAGCUAUUUAAGUAUCUGAGAUUUUAUUAACUUUAUACAUGACUCUGGAAUAAUUAUGGUACAUUAGGGACUCACCAAUAAAUUUUCUCCUUCCAACCAUUACAGCUAUUUGCUUCAACCUCCAU